This 2393-nucleotide long non-coding RNA is filed under the name Aquilegia coerulea. RNAcentral's name for it is "long non-coding RNA (ACOE_LNC001725)". The record is from RNAcentral. Lineage: Eukaryota; Viridiplantae; Streptophyta; Magnoliopsida; Ranunculales; Ranunculaceae.
CCAUGCCAAACCCCAGCUUGCAUUUUGCGGAAAAAAAAAUUAUAAAUGGAAUCUAUAAUACAAAAUGAUCCAGUAAUAUUAAAUAAAUUGAACAUAAUCUGGUCUUUCGCAACAACACCUGGUAAAUAUUAAGCAAACAGGCAUUAUUUUUUCAUUGCAAUUCCAUGAUACACUAAUAGAAUCCAAAACAUGAAGAGACAUAACACAGAUGUAAGGUUUGGCAUUUCACAUUUAGGCUAAUUGCAAUGUGAACUGCUGCUAUCUCUCUGAAUCUCUAAUCUGGUGCCUCAUCCCGACAAUGGUCCACUCUGCAUUCAGUGAUAGCCAACUCCCUUUAACUCCAUUUUUGCGACCUCACUACCACCAUCUUUACCAAGAAACAAAAGCCGACCUGCAGAAGACAAAUUUAGGGACAAGAGAACUUGGAUAGAAAUUUAACAAGCAUGUGAAAGUCGUCAUGAACUGGGAAGCUUCCCUUAAGUAACCUACCAUAUAUGGAGUAAUUCAUAUUUAUUGGUGCCUUUAUUCCUAUCUGUGUACAAGUGAAAAACUCUUAAACUACUUUAUUCAGAUUUUCAUUAUGUGACCCACUUUGCACAGGUUCUAUGUAAACAUCCAGUGGUCGAUGCAGACAGCAGAAGCAUGAACUUGUACUGUAUUCAUACCCAACAUAAACAUAUAACAUCCAAGCUCAGUGUCAGAGUUGAAUUCUCAAAAACACAGAUUAGACUACAAAUCAUUGAGCACUUCGCUCAAAUAAGUAUGAAAAUGGUUAACGUACCAUCUCAACACAGGGCAAUCUCUCUUAUAAGUCAAACAGGACCACUUAUAGGAUUACUAAAGGUUUUGGUCUCCAGGUUUCCCUCUGCAUAUGAAAUUGACCUACCAAACCAGAUAAAUAUUGAAAGAAAGGUGUCCAUCAGAAUGCUACAUGAAGAUCCCAACCAAAUGUAAGAGCAAGAGGUAUUAAAUUAUUAAGUACACAGUUUGGCAAUUAAGAUAAUCUCCACAAAGUGCAAUUAAAUGCGACAUAUGAUGGUGAACUUUAAUAGAAACAAGCAUGAUGGAAGUUGUUCUUCGUCAAUGAUAGAUGUGAAAAGAUGAUUAUUAGACAAAAAAAACCCAGAAAGUAACCUAAUCAUGGUGUUCUAAAACAAAAACUAUAUAACAAAAUACAAACAGACCUUGCAUACAAUGUUCAUAAGCAAGACAAAAUGCUGUGAAUGAUCAACUAUCUGACUCGGCGACAAUCAUAGCAUGUGAUUAUGAGUAUUUAACAUGGUAGCUUAUCAUCUAGAAAAUUCAACCAACAUGAUCAUAAUUUUGUGACAGAGCCCAAUCUCCUCCAUAGAAUGUGACCGAGUGGUAUAGUCCAGAUCAAAGCGAAAAAAGCCACACAUUGAUGUCCCGUGAUAACAAAAGAGGUAGCUGCUAUUUGGUUUUGAAGACUUUAUUAUUUGGUCAGGAGGUGUAAAUUAAGAAAUUAAUGGAGUUUUGCCGAAAACAAACCUCUACAUGAAAAAACUCAAGGGCACCAGUUAUUAGUACUAGUAGAAACUAGAGAUAACUAAAGUUCCUGCAGCUAGAAAGCCCAACACAAUCUAAUUGCCUGAAACUGAUAGUCUGACUAGCAAGAAUUGCAACUAGUAGUAAUAUGAUUGUACAUGAUGUACACAAACACAACCAUUAUAUAAAUCAUUAUCAAAUAGAUAAUUGAAGAAAUUCUAUUUAUAUCAAAAUCAUUAAUAAUUGAAGAAAUAUUUGAUACUAACUUAAUCUCUUAAAAACAUCCAACAAAUUUCUUUUACACAAAAUAAGUGUAUUUCCAAUACACAACAUCUAUAAGAAUAAUGGAGGAAACGAUAAUCCAUGAAUUACGACGAUUAAGGUCUUUGGUGGUAAUAACUGUGCUCUGCUCUGUCUCCUUUGAUUUCUCUACAGCAGGUUAGGGUUAGGGGCUUAGGGCCACGAUUGAAACUUAUUGAUAAGAGUUUAACUAUGAGAAUGGCCUGAAAGAGUUACAAAUGGUACCUUGGAGACUUCCACUUGAUGGAUAAACUCGUCCCGAUCCAGGCGAUCCUUGUAUAUCCUCAUUUCCAACGUACGAUUGCACAAUGACACAGAACUUCAAAUCACUAAAACACAAACAACAUAAAUUAACAUCUGUUUGAGAAAGAAUUCAUAAAAAGAAGGAGAACGCAUCAUCGUCAUCAUCUUGUAAUGGGUAGAACUGAGGGAUUGAAAUUUGUAAAUAAACGCACCGACCCCAAAUUUGGGAAGGUUUACGUUUUGUACGGGUCUAGGAUAACCGAUAGGAUUCGCUGAUCGAUGAACUUUAUAGAAUUCGGCAAUUCGCCGAAUACAAUGCUAACUAUUAAAAUGAUAAUUUUGCC